UUAAGCUAGAAAGAGCGCAGGGUGGAUGCCUUGGCACUAAGAGCCGAUGAAAGACGUGAUAAGCUGCGAAAAGCUUCGGGGAGGAGCAAAUAUCCUUUGAUCCGGAGAUCUCUGAAUGGGGAAACCUACUUGAGUGCACCUCAAGUGACGUAUGGUGAAUACAUAGCCAUACGCCGGGAACCCGGUGAACUGAAACAUCUAAGUAGCCGGAGGAAGAGAAAGAAACAUCGAUUCCGAAAGUAGCGGCGAGCGAAAUUGGAAGAGCCCAAACCGGAAUGCGUGCAUUCCGGGGUUAAGGACCACGUUAUGUGACCCGUAUGGUAAUGGAACAGUCUGGGAAGUCAGACCAGAGAGGGUGAAAGUCCCGUACAUGAAACCAGAAGGGAGCUAGUGGGAUCCAGAGUACUGCGAGACACGUGGAACCUUGCAGGAAGUCGGGGGGACCACCCCCCAAGGCUAAAUACUCCUUAGUGACCGAUAGCGCAUAGUACUGUGAAGGAAAGGUGAAAAGGACCCCGGGAGGGGAGUGAAAGAGAACCUGAAACCCUGUGUUUACAAGCUGUGGAAGCACGUUAAGGUGCGACCGCGUACUUUUUGUAGAACGGUCCGGCGAGUUGCGGAUGCUGGCAAGGUUAAGCACUUUAGGUGCGGAGCCGAAGCGAGAGCAAGUCUGAAUAGGGCGUCAAGUCAGCAUGUGCAGACCCGAAACCGGGUGAUCUAUCCAUGUCCAGGUUGAAGCGAAAGUAAAAUUUCGUGGAGGACCGAACGCACAUCCGUUGAAAAGGGUGGCGAUGAGGUGUGGAUAGGGGAGAAAUUCCAAUCGAACCCGGAGAUAGCUGGUUCUCCUCGAAAUAGCUUUAGGGCUAGCCUCGUAUUAGUCUGGUGGAGGUAGAGCACUGAAUUUCCUAGGGGGCGUCAAAGCCUACCGAAGAAUAUCAAACUCCGAAUGCCAUACAGAUGAUGUACGGGAGUCAGACGGCACGAGAUAAGUUGGGUCGUCAAAAGGGAAAGAGCCCAGACCUGCAGCUAAGGUCCCAAAGUGUGUGUUAAGUGGAAAAGGAUGUGGGAUUUCAAAGACAACUAGGAUGUUGGCUCAGAAGCAGCCACACAUUCAAAGAGUGCGUAAUAGCUCACUAGUCGAGAGGUCCUGCGCCGAAAAUGUCCGGGGCUGAAACACAACACCGAAGCUCAGGAAUGUAUUUAUACAUUGGUAGAGGAGCAUUCUUAAAGGGGCGAAGCAGUACCGAUAAGGAGCUGUGGACUUUUAAGAAGAGAGAAUGCCGGAAUGAGUAGCGAGAUGGAGGUGGGAAUCCUCCAGGCCGAAUAUCUAAGGUUUCCAGGGUAAAGCUGAUCUGCCCUGGGUAAGUCGGGGCCUAAGGCAAGGCUGAGAAGCGUAGCUGAUGGACAACAGGUUUAGAUUCCUGUACCACAUGGUAUCAGAACUGUGGGGACGCAGAGGGAUAAGAUGACCGGGGGACAGAUUCCCGGGCAAGCGCAGGAGGUGUCAGGCAGGCAAAUCCGCCUGACAAGCCAAAGGCGUGACGCGGACCGAACUCAAGUAGGGAAGCAUCCGAUUCCAGCUGCCGAGAAAAGCCGCUAUUGUGUAUCAUGUGCCCGUACCGUAAACCGACACAGGUGGAUGAGGAGAGAAUCCUAAGGCCGGCGGGAGAAGCAUUGUUAAGGAACUCGGCAAAAUGACCCCGUAACUUCGGGAUAAGGGGUGCCAGAGAGAUCUGGCCGCAGAGAAUAGGCUCAAGCAACUGUUUAGCAAAAACACAGGUCUAUGCGAAACCGUAAGGUGAUGUAUAUGGGCUGACGCCUGCCCGGUGCUGGAAGGUUAAGAGGAGAGGUUAGAGCAAUCGAAGCUUUGAAUUGAAGCCCCAGUAAACGGCGGCCGUAACUAUAACGGUCCUAAGGUAGCGAAAUUCCUUGUCGGGUAAGUUCCGACCCGC
This 1952-nucleotide ribosomal RNA is filed under the name human gut metagenome. RNAcentral's name for it is "bacterial LSU rRNA". It matches the Rfam family "Bacterial large subunit ribosomal RNA", at positions 3 to 1991 of the family's 2925-position model. The record is from RNAcentral.